UACGUAGGGUGCGAGCGUUAAUCGGAAUUACUGGGCGUAAAGGGUGCGCAGGCGGCGCCGCAAGUCAGGCGUGAAAUCCCCGGGCUUAACCUGGGAACUGCACUUGAAACUACGAUGCUGGAGUAUGGCAGAGGGAGGUGGAAUUCCACGUGUAGCGGUGAAAUGCGUAGAGAUGUGGAGGAACACCGAUGGCGAAGGCAGCCUCCUGGGCCAAUACUGACGCUCAUGCACGAAAGCGUGGGGAGCAAACAGG
RNAcentral lists this ribosomal RNA (253 nucleotides) under uncultured bacterium. Its description in RNAcentral is "partial 16S ribosomal RNA". It matches the Rfam family "Bacterial small subunit ribosomal RNA", at positions 524 to 776 of the family's 1533-position model. The record is from RNAcentral.